This 2545-nucleotide ribosomal RNA is filed under the name Shigella flexneri. RNAcentral's name for it is "partial 23S ribosomal RNA". It matches the Rfam family "Bacterial large subunit ribosomal RNA", at positions 412 to 2925 of the family's 2925-position model. The record is from RNAcentral. Lineage: Bacteria; Pseudomonadati; Pseudomonadota; Gammaproteobacteria; Enterobacterales; Enterobacteriaceae.
GUAGGGCGGGACACGUGGUAUCCUGUCUGAAUAUGGGGGGACCAUCCUCCAAGGCUAAAUACUCCUGACUGACCGAUAGUGAACCAGUACCGUGAGGGAAAGGCGAAAAGAACCCCGGCGAGGGGAGUGAAAAAGAACCUGAAACCGUGUACGUACAAGCAGUGGGAGCACGCUUAGGCGUGUGACUGCGUACCUUUUGUAUAAUGGGUCAGCGACUUAUAUUCUGUAGCAAGGUUAACCGAAUAGGGGAGCCGAAGGGAAACCGAGUCUUAACUGGGCGUUAAGUUGCAGGGUAUAGACCCGAAACCCGGUGAUCUAGCCAUGGGCAGGUUGAAGGUUGGGUAACACUAACUGGAGGACCGAACCGACUAAUGUUGAAAAAUUAGCGGAUGACUUGUGGCUGGGGGUGAAAGGCCAAUCAAACCGGGAGAUAGCUGGUUCUCCCCGAAAGCUAUUUAGGUAGCGCCUCGUGAAUUCAUCUCCGGGGGUAGAGCACUGUUUCGGCAAGGGGGUCAUCCCGACUUACCAACCCGAUGCAAACUGCGAAUACCGGAGAAUGUUAUCACGGGAGACACACGGCGGGUGCUAACGUCCGUCGUGAAGAGGGAAACAACCCAGACCGCCAGCUAAGGUCCCAAAGUCAUGGUUAAGUGGGAAACGAUGUGGGAAGGCCCAGACAGCCAGGAUGUUGGCUUAGAAGCAGCCAUCAUUUAAAGAAAGCGUAAUAGCUCACUGGUCGAGUCGGCCUGCGCGGAAGAUGUAACGGGGCUAAACCAUGCACCGAAGCUGCGGCAGCGACGCUUAUGCGUUGUUGGGUAGGGGAGCGUUCUGUAAGCCUGUGAAGGUGUGCUGUGAGGUAUGCUGGAGGUAUCAGAAGUGCGAAUGCUGACAUAAGUAACGAUAAAGCGGGUGAAAAGCCCGCUCGCCGGAAGACCAAGGGUUCCUGUCCAACGUUAAUCGGGGCAGGGUGAGUCGACCCCUAAGGCGAGGCCGAAAGGCGUAGUCGAUGGGAAACAGGUUAAUAUUCCUGUACUUGGUGUUACUGCGAAGGGGGGACGGAGAAGGCUAUGUUGGCCGGGCGACGGUUGUCCCGGUUUAAGCGUGUAGGCUGGUUUUCCAGGCAAAUCCGGAAAAUCAAGGCCGAGGCGUGAUGACGAGGCACUACGGUGCUGAAGCAACAAAUGCCCUGCUUCCAGGAAAAGCCUCUAAGCAUCAGGUAACAUCAAAUCGUACCCCAAACCGACACAGGUGGUCAGGUAGAGAAUACCAAGGCGCUUGAGAGAACUCGGGUGAAGGAACUAGGCAAAAUGGUGCCGUAACUUCGGGAGAAGGCACGCUGAUACGUAGGUGAAGCGACUUGCUCGUGGAGCUGAAAUCAGUCGAAGAUACCAGCUGGCUGCAACUGUUUAUUAAAAACACAGCACUGUGCAAACACGAAAGUGGACGUAUACGGUGUGACGCCUGCCCGGUGCCGGAAGGUUAAUUGAUGGGGUUAGCGCAAGCGAAGCUCUUGAUCGAAGCCCCGGUAAACGGCGGCCGUAACUAUAACGGUCCUAAGGUAGCGAAAUUCCUUGUCGGGUAAGUUCCGACCUGCACGAAUGGCGUAAUGAUGGCCAGGCUGUCUCCACCCGAGACUCAGUGAAAUUGAACUCGCUGUGAAGAUGCAGUGUACCCGCGGCAAGACGGAAAGACCCCGUGAACCUUUACUAUAGCUUGACACUGAACAUUGAGCCUUGAUGUGUAGGAUAGGUGGGAGGCUUUGAAGUGUGGACGCCAGUCUGCAUGGAGCCGACCUUGAAAUACCACCCUUUAAUGUUUGAUGUUCUAACGUGGACCCGUGAUCCGGGUUGCGGACAGUGUCUGGUGGGUAGUUUGACUGGGGCGGUCUCCUCCUAAAGAGUAACGGAGGAGCACGAAGGUUGGCUAAUCCUGGUCGGACAUCAGGAGGUUAGUGCAAUGGCAUAAGCCAGCUUGACUGCGAGCGUGACGGCGCGAGCAGGUGCGAAAGCAGGUCAUAGUGAUCCGGUGGUUCUGAAUGGAAGGGCCAUCGCUCAACGGAUAAAAGGUACUCCGGGGAUAACAGGCUGAUACCGCCCAAGAGUUCAUAUCGACGGCGGUGUUUGGCACCUCGAUGUCGGCUCAUCACAUCCUGGGGCUGAAGUAGGUCCCAAGGGUAUGGCUGUUCGCCAUUUAAAGUGGUACGCGAGCUGGGUUUAGAACGUCGUGAGACAGUUCGGUCCCUAUCUGCCGUGGGCGCUGGAGAACUGAGGGGGGCUGCUCCUAGUACGAGAGGACCGGAGUGGACGCAUCACUGGUGUUCGGGUUGUCAUGCCAAUGGCACUGCCCGGUAGCUAAAUGCGGAAGAGAUAAGUGCUGAAAGCAUCUAAGCACGAAACUUGCCCCGAGAUGAGUUCUCCCUGACCCUUUAAGGGUCCUGAAGGAACGUUGAAGACGACGACGUUGAUAGGCCGGGUGUGUAAGCGCAGCGAUGCGUUGAGCUAACCGGUACUAAUGAACCGUGAGGCUUAACCUUACAACGCCGAAG